AAUCCAUAGGUUAAUGAGGCGAACCGGGGGAACUGAAACAUCUAAGUACCCCGAGGAAAAGAAAUCAACCGAGAUUCCCCCAGUAGCGGCGAGCGAACGGGGAGGAGCCCAGAGCCUGAAUCAGCAUGUGUGUUAGUGGAAGCGUCUGGAAAGGCGCGCGAUACAGGGUGACAGCCCCGUACACAAAAGCGCAUGUGCUGUGAGCUCGAUGAGUAGGGCGGGACACGUGGUAUCCUGUCUGAAUAUGGGGGGACCAUCCUCCAAGGCUAAAUACUCCUGACUGACCGAUAGUGAACCAGUACCGUGAGGGAAAGGCGAAAAGAACCCCGGCGAGGGGAGUGAAAAAGAACCUGAAACCGUGUACGUACAAGCAGUGGGAGCACAGGUUUACCUGUGUGACUGCGUACCUUUUGUAUAAUGGGUCAGCGACUUAUAUUCUGUAGCAAGGUUAACCGAAUAGGGGAGCCGGAGGGAAACCGAGUCUUAAUUGGGCGUUAAGUUGCAGGGUAUAGACCCGAAACCCGGUGAUCUAGCCAUGGGCAGGUUGAAGGUUGGGUAACACUAACUGGAGGACCGAACCGACUAAUGUUGAAAAAUUAGCGGAUGACCUGUGGCUGGGGGUGAAAGGCCAAUCAAACCGGGAGAUAGCUGGUUCUCCCCGAAAGCUAUUUAGGUAGCGCCUCGUGAAUUCAUCUCCGGGGGUAGAGCACUGUUUCGGCUAGGGGGCCAUCCCGGCUUACCAACCCGAUGCAAACUGCGAAUACCGGAGAAUGUUAUCACGGGAGACACACGGCGGGUGCUAACGUCCGUCGUGAAGAGGGAAACAACCCAGACCGCCAGCUAAGGUCCCAAAGUCAUGGUUAAGUGGGAAACGAUGUGGGAAGGCCCAGACAGCCAGGAUGUUGGCUUAGAAGCAGCCAUCAUUUAAAGAAAGCGUAAUAGCUCACUGGUCGAGUCGGCCUGCGCGGAAGAUGUAACGGGGCUAAACCAUGCACCGAAGCUGC
This 1004-nucleotide ribosomal RNA is filed under the name Salmonella enterica subsp. enterica serovar Dublin. Its description in RNAcentral is "partial 23S ribosomal RNA". It matches the Rfam family "Bacterial large subunit ribosomal RNA", at positions 161 to 1203 of the family's 2925-position model. The record is from RNAcentral. Lineage: Bacteria; Pseudomonadati; Pseudomonadota; Gammaproteobacteria; Enterobacterales; Enterobacteriaceae.